UUCGAACCAGAGUUACUGUCAUGCAAGUU
RNAcentral lists this non-coding RNA (29 nucleotides) under Rattus norvegicus (Norway rat). The record is from RNAcentral. Lineage: Eukaryota; Metazoa; Chordata; Mammalia; Rodentia; Muridae.